Molecule: ribosomal RNA, 392 nt
Filed under: uncultured bacterium
Lineage: Bacteria
Description: partial 16S ribosomal RNA
Rfam family: Bacterial small subunit ribosomal RNA
Source: RNAcentral
AUACGUAUGUCGCAAGCGUUAUCCGGAUUUAUUGGGCGUAAAGCGCGUCUAGGCGGUUUAGUAAGUCUGAUGUGAAAAUACGGGGCUCAACCCCGACUUGCGUUGGAAACUGCUAAACUAGAGUCCUGGAGAUGUAGGCGGAAAUUCAAGGGAAAGGGUGGAAUUCGUCGAUAUUUGUAGGAAUGCCGAAGGGGAAGCCAGCCUACUGGACAGAUACCUACGCUAAAGCGCGAAAGCGUGGGUAGCAAACAGGAUUAGAUACCCUGGUAGUCCACGCCGUAAACGAUGAUUACUAGGUGUUGGGGGUCGAACCUCAGCGCCCAAGCUAACGCGAUAAGUAAUCCGCCUGGGGAGUACGUACGCAAGUAUGAAACUCAAAUGAAUUGACGGGG